This 1038-nucleotide ribosomal RNA is filed under the name Metaphire sp. YN201734-02. Its description in RNAcentral is "partial small subunit ribosomal RNA". Lineage: Eukaryota; Metazoa; Annelida; Clitellata; Crassiclitellata; Megascolecidae. The record is from RNAcentral.
UCGAUAAUCCACGUAUACUCCCCCUUCUCUAGACCACAGCAUGUGUACUGCCGUUGUAAGCACACCUCUAAAAGAAUAAGUGUGCCACCAUGACUAAUUACAGCUCAUGUACAUCAGGUCAAAGUGCAGCCAAUAAGAAGGUGAUGAUGGGUUACAACCCUAAAAUAGAAUAUCAACUAAGACAUAAAAAAUCUUAUGAAAGUGGACUUGGCUGUAAUCAAUUCCAAGUUAAAGAAAUGAAUAUAACCUAAGACAUGCACACAUCGCCCGUCACUCUACCCUAAAGGCUAGAUAAGUCGUAACAAAGUAGGUGUAAUGGAAAUUGCGCCUGUCGAAGUAUAGCAUAUAUAAUGCUUUUUAUUUACACUAAAAAAAAAGUUAAACAACUUACUUCGCCCACAAAAAUAAUCUUAUAAUUUAAUAUAAAUAUAAACAACUAAAUAUUAGAAAUUAAAGUACAGAAAUGGAACAUAAAAUAAAUAAAAGUAAAUUUUAAUAAUUGUACCUUGUGCAUUAUGGUUUUACAAGAAAACAAUUAAAUAUAUAAAUCCCGAAUUCUAAGUGAGAUGUUAAACUGCUGUUUAGAACCCACUAAUAACUGUAGAAAAAGUUUUAAAAGACAGUCUGACAGAGGCUACAUACCAUCCGCACAAGAAUAUAGCUGGUUUUCAGUAAACAUUAUAUAUUAAAGCAUAUAAUAUAAUUAUAGUGUUAUAUUAUUGAGGAUAAGCCCAAUAAUCAAAGCAAUUAAAGUUUUAACCCUUCUCCCUUUAUAGGCCUAAAAUCAGCCAACCAAAGUACUUUAUCGUAAUAUACACAGAUAUAAUAAAUAAUAUAUUAAUGUUAAACAAAGCUGAAAUAGUGGAUUAAUACUUUUACCCACCCAUACUAUGUAAAAAUAAGUAUUAUAUAACUACUAAUAUACCACACCAAUAUAGACAACCUAUAAUAUAAUAAUAGUUAAUUAAGGAACUCGGCAAAUUAUUAUUUCGACUGUUUAACAAAAACAUUGUCUCAUGAAACAAAUAUGAGAUAAUA